Molecule: transfer RNA, 69 nt
Filed under: Triatoma mexicana
Lineage: Eukaryota; Metazoa; Arthropoda; Insecta; Hemiptera; Reduviidae
Description: tRNA-Met
Rfam family: tRNA
About the family: Transfer RNA (tRNA) molecules are approximately 80 nucleotides in length. Their secondary structure includes four short double-helical elements and three loops (D, anti-codon, and T loops). Further hydrogen bonds mediate the characteristic L-shaped molecular structure. tRNAs have two regions of fundamental functional importance: the anti-codon, which is responsible for specific mRNA codon recognition, and the 3' end, to which the tRNAs corresponding amino acid is attached (by aminoacyl-tRNA synthetases). tRNAs cope with the degeneracy of the genetic code in two manners: having more than one tRNA (with a specific anti-codon) for a particular amino acid; and 'wobble' base-pairing, i.e. permitting non-standard base-pairing at the 3rd anti-codon position.
Source: RNAcentral
AAAAAGAUAAGCUAAAAAAGCUAUUAGGUUCAUACCCUAAUCAUAGAAGUAAAAAUCUUCUUCUUUUUA